UGAGGAAUUUUGGGCAAUGGGCGAAAGCCUGACCCAGCAAUGCCGCGUGAACGAUGAAGUCCUUCGGGAUGUAAAGUUCGUAAGCAGGAGAAGAACACAAUGACGGUAUCCUGUGUAAGCCCCGGCUAACUACGUGCCAGCAGCCGCGGUAAUACGUAGGGGGCAAGCGUUGUUCGGAUUUACUGGGCGUAAAGGGCACGUAGGCGGCGCGUAAAGUCGGACGUGAAAUCACUGGGCUUAACCUAGUGGCUGUGUCCGAUACUUGCGUGCUUUGAGUGCGGGAGAGGCAAUCGGAAUUCUCGGUGUAGCGGUGAAAUGCGUAGAUAUCGAGAGGAACUCCGGUGACGAAGGUGGGUUGCUGGACCGACACUGACGCUGAGGCGCGAAAGCUAGGGGAGCAAACGGGAUUAGAUACCCCGGUAGUCCUAGCCCUAAACGAUGAAUACUUGGUGUGCGGGUUUCUUAGUACCCGCGUGCCGUAGCUAACGCGAUAAGUAUUCCGCCUGGGGAGUAUGGUCGCAAGAUUG
RNAcentral lists this ribosomal RNA (527 nucleotides) under uncultured Acidobacteriota bacterium. RNAcentral describes it as "bacterial SSU rRNA". It matches the Rfam family "Bacterial small subunit ribosomal RNA", at positions 355 to 896 of the family's 1533-position model. Lineage: Bacteria; Pseudomonadati; Acidobacteriota. The record is from RNAcentral.